RNAcentral lists this ribosomal RNA (277 nucleotides) under uncultured bacterium. RNAcentral's name for it is "partial 16S ribosomal RNA". It matches the Rfam family "Bacterial small subunit ribosomal RNA", at positions 79 to 354 of the family's 1533-position model. The record is from RNAcentral.
CUUUAUCUGCCGGCGACCGGCGCACGGGUGAGUAACACGUAUGCAACCUGCCCCUGUCAGGGGGACAACCCGCCGAAAGGCGGGCUAAACCCGCGUACAUGCCACCGGGGCAUCCCGGAGGCAGGAAAGGCUUCGGGCCGGACAGGGAUGGGCAUGCGGCGCAUUAGGCAGUAGGCGGGGUAACGGCCCACCUAACCGACGAUGCGUAGGGGUUCUGAGAGGAAGGUCCCCCACACUGGUACUGAGACACGGACCAGACUCCUACGGAAGGCAGCAG